RNAcentral lists this ribosomal RNA (473 nucleotides) under uncultured bacterium. RNAcentral describes it as "partial 16S ribosomal RNA". It matches the Rfam family "Bacterial small subunit ribosomal RNA", at positions 28 to 507 of the family's 1533-position model. The record is from RNAcentral.
GAUAAACGCUGGCGGCGCACAUAAGACAUGCAAGUUGAACGGACUUAAUCGAAAUAUUUAUAUUUUGAAGCGGUUAGUGGCGGACUGGUGAGUAACGCGUAAGGAACCUGCCUAUUAGAGGGGAAUAACAGUGAGAAAUCAUUGCUAAUACCGCAUAUGCCAUAGAUAUCACAUGAUAACAGUGGGAAAGGAGCAAUCCGCUAAUAGAUGGCCUUGCGUCUGAUUAGAUAGUUGGUGGGGUAACGGCCUACCAAGUCGACGAUCAGUAGCCGGACUGAGAGGUUGAGCGGCCACAUUGGGACUGAGAUACGGCCCAGACUCCUACGGGAGGCAGCAGUCGGGAAUAUUGCGCAAUGGAGGAAACUCUGACGCAGUGACGCCGCGUAUAGGAAGAAGGUUUUCGGAUUGUAAACUAUUGUCGUUAGGGAAGAGAAAGGACAGUACCUAAGGAGGAAGCUCCGGCUAACUACGUG